ACUAACUAUUAACCAUUAAUAUUUAAUUCUUGCUCUUUACAUUUAUGCAAUUUACUAUUCUUGUACAUAUUAUUCUUGUACUAUAGUUUCUGACUUUUAAAAAUGCUGAAAUUUUUUGUCAAACUUUGUUUGACUUUGUUGAACUUGGGAUAAUUCACUUGGACUUUUCAAAGUUGAUUUGAAGUGAGUUUGAAGUUUGACCUUUCUUUAUUAUUUUAAUUCAAGUUUUAUUCUAAUAUUAAAAAAUGCCAAAAAUAUUUUAUUUGUUUCUUGACUUCUAAUCUUCAUUUUGCUUCUGUUUUCUAUUUGUUUUGACCUUGAUCUUCUCUAUCUUUGGUCAAUGCUUGUUGAUUAGUACAUACCAUUUCCAUUAAUGCACUUUAAUUCUUCAUCUUCUUCUUCUUCUUCUUUCUUUUUUUUCUUUUUGAUCAAUGAGUUAGAGAUUGGUGGUUAGCAUUGAUACAUGGAGGUUUAAUUUUCCUUGAUUCAAAUCUAAUUCAUCUUGAUCAUGGAUCAUGUGAAUGGUUUUGCAUUAAGGAUAAAUUGCUUCCUAAAUCAUGCAAAGAACCUAAAUCAAUACAAGAUCAUUUCUCAUCUUCUUUUUGGCAUGGCAAGUUGUUGGAGUUUGAUUCACUAAUCAAGACCUCUAACUUGUGUUGUUGCCUACAUUAUUAUUGACCGGCCUCAGAUAGUUGUGACUUCUACAUAAGUCCAAUUACGAUUGCUUAACAUAGUGCUAAAUUUUCCUUAUGACACACUAACUAUUAACCAUUAACAUUUAAUUCUUGCUCUUUACAUUUAUGCAAUUUACUAUUCUUGUACAUAUUAUUCAUUUGCUUUUCCCCCUUUGCUCACUUGAGCACAUGUUUAUGUUAAUGCAAUUUGUCUUUUGCUCACUUGAGCACAUAAUUGUGUAUAUAUUACUAUGCUUGUGUUUUGUUUUGAUU
RNAcentral lists this long non-coding RNA (947 nucleotides) under Lathyrus oleraceus (garden pea). RNAcentral's name for it is "Pisum sativum (pea) long non-coding RNA (PSAT_LNC002534)". The record is from RNAcentral. Lineage: Eukaryota; Viridiplantae; Streptophyta; Magnoliopsida; Fabales; Fabaceae.